UCUUAUGGGUUACAAUGGAACCAUAUUUGCAUAUGGACAAACUUCUAGUGGCAAAACACAUACAAUGGAGGGUGUUCUUGGUGACCCUGUACAUCAAGGUAUUAUUCCUAGAAUUGUCAAUGACAUAUUUAAUCACAUAUAUUCAAUGGAUGAAAACAUUGAGUUCCAUAUUAAAGUAUCCUAUUUUGAAAUUUAUUUGGAUAAAAUCAGGGAUCUACUAGAUGUUUCCAAAACAAAUUUGUCUGUGCAUGAAGACAAAAACAGAGUACCUUAUGUUAAGGGAGCAACAGAAAGAUUUGUUACUAGCCCAGAAGAAGUAAUGGAAGUUAUAGAUGAAGGCAAAGCAAAUAGGCAUAUAGCUGUUACAAAUAUGAAUGAACACAGUUCUCGAAGCCACAGUGUCUUUCUCAUAAAUGUGAAGCAAGAAAAUUUAGAAAACCAAAAGAAACUUAGUGGAAAAUUGUACUUAGUAGAUUUAGCUGGUAGUGAAAAGGUUAGCAAAACUGGAGCAGAAGGUAUGGUCCUAGAUGAAGCAAAAAAUAUUAAUAAAUCUUUAUCUGCACUAGGAAAUGUGAUAUCAGCCCUUGCUGAUGGCAAUAAAAGUCAUAUACCUUAUCGAGAUAGCAAACUGACACGUAUACUGCAAGAAAGUUUAGGUGGUAAUUCUCGCACAACAAUUAUCAUUUGUUGUUCUCCUGCUUCCUAUAACGAAUCAGAAACAAAAUCUACUUUGGAAUUUGGAAGAAGAGCAAAGACAAUCAAGAACACUGUGAUUGUGAAUGAAGAGCUUACCGCAGAAGAAUGGAAACGAAGGUGGGAGAAAGAGAAAGAGAAGGUUUCAAAACUUAAAAGUCAGUUGUCAAGAGCAGAAGCUGAACUUAACCGGUGGCGAAAUGGUGAGUCUGUUCCACAAGAUGAACAGCUACUUACUAAAGAUCUCGAAGCCAGCACCUUAUCUCUUAGCGAUACUUCAUCUGUCACAAAUAUUCCUGCCGCAAUACCACAGGUAUCCUCUGAACCUGUGGGUAAUGAUGAGAGGGUUAAAUUCGAGGAAGAACGUAUGAGAUUGUAUGCCCAGUUAGAUGAGAAAGAUGAUGAAAUUGAUAGGCAAAGUCAGUUGAUUGAGAAACUGAAAGAACAAAUGCUUGAACAGGAGGAGCUAAUUACAUCAACUCGAAGGGAUUAUGAAUUGGUUCAGCAAGAGAUGUCUCGUCUCCAGCAAGAAAAUGAAUCUGCCAAAGAGGAAGUAAAAGAAGUUUUGCAAGCUCUUGAAGAAUUAGCUGUGAAUUAUGACCAGAAAUCUCAGGAAGUUGAUAACAAGAACAGAGAAUAUGAGCAGCUAAGUGAAGAACACAGUCAAAAAUUAUCAAACCUGAAUAAUGCUAUGAAUGAGUUGCAGCAACUAAAAGAUAGUACCAUUCACCAGAAGAAAAGGAUGACAGAAAUGCUAACUAAUCUUCUGAAAGACCUUGGAGAAAUUGGUCUGGUUUUAGGUGGCAAUGUUUCUGACAUUAGGGCUGCUGGUGACUUAUCUGGUAAAGUUGAUGAAGAAUUUACAGUUGUUAGACUAUACAUUAGUAAAAUGAAGUCUGAAGUAAAGGCACUUUCUCAGCGCUGCAGUCAGUUGGAAAGCUUUCAAGUUGACAGCAAUAAGAAAGUUGAGAGCUAUGAAAAAGAACUUGCUGAAUGUCGAUUACUUAUCAGCCAGUAUGAAGCAAAGAUGAAAUCUCUACAAGAAACUAUUAGAGACAAUGAAAACAAAAAGCGAAGUUUGGAAGAAGAGGUUGAUGCUUUAACUGAAGAAUGUGCUAAACUAAAAUCAGCAAAGGAAAUGCAUAUUAUGGCUUCAAAAGAAAAAGAGAAAGAAAAGGAUAGUGCUGAAAAGAUGAAAGAAGCUCUUGAGCAACAGAUCGAAAAACACAGAGAAGCUCACCAAAAACAGUUGGCACAGUUAAGGGAUGAAAUCUCGGAGAAACAAUCGCAAAUUGACCAGCUUAAAGAUGUCAAUCAAAAAUUGUCACUGGCACAAGAAAGACUGCAGUUAGAUUAUGAUAAGCUGAAACAAGAAGAACAGGAGAAAACUCAGAAAUUGCAAGAAUUAACGCUGAUGAGUGAUCGUAGAGAACAAGCUCGACAAGAUCUGAAAGGAUUAGAAGAAACUGUUGCAAAAGAACUUCAGACAUUACAUAACCUCAGAAAGCUCUUUGUUCAAGAUCUUCAAAGCCGUGUCAAAAAGUCAGCCGUUGGAGACGAUAGUGAAGAUAAUGGCGGAAGUCUAGCUCAGAAACAAAAGAUCUCUUUUCUAGAAAACAACUUAGAUCAACUUACAAAAGUUCACAAACAGUUGGUGAGAGAUAAUGCUGAUUUGCGAUGUGAAUUACCUAAAUUAGAAAAAAGACUCAGGGCUACAAUGGAAAGAGUAAAAGCUUUGGAACAAGCUUUGAAAGAAGCCAAAGAAAGUGCAAUGCGAGACAGAAAACGAUACCAACAUGAAGUUGAUCGAAUUAAAGAAGCAGUAAGGCAGAAGAAUUUAGCAAGAAGAGGAAAUAUGGCUCACAUUGCUAAGCCCAUUCGAGCUGGUCAACCUCAUGGUGGUAGUGGCAACCCAGGGAUCAGGCCUUCACAGUUCCAGAAUGCUGGAUCAAAUGUAAACAGUGGAGGUGAGUGAAUUAUUUGCAGCAACAAGAUUCCUAUCCUACAGCAAUUAAAGGUGGCCGAAAAAUUACAACUAACACUCAUAAGAAUGUCAAAGAGGAAAGUUAAUGCUGUAACGCUGUUAAACAAAAGAGCUAUGCUGAAGUUUUGUGGCGACGUACUAGGACCACCAUCCAGUCUGCAAACUUAUAAAAUGCAAACUUCUGUGGAGAUAAACUGCAAUAAGGCUGUUAAUUAUGUUUUUUGCAAUUUUUUUCUUUUCCUCUGCUUAUAUAUGUUCAAUCUUUCCUGAUAUUCAGGGCUUCUCGUCUUUCAAUUUUUGCUUAAUAUUUGAGGGAUAGAAGUACACCAACCAGUGGCUUAUAGUAUUUUGGUACUUUUUUAAUUUCAAAAAGUAUUAUUGAAAUAUCAAACAUAAUUUAAAUAAAAUAACUAUUAAACUCAUCAUACUGUGUAAAAGCAUGCAAGUUCUGAAGCUUGAAUUUAAUAUAGGCAAUGGGUUUCAGGUUGUCCAUGUGCAAUGUAUAUAUCACAUGUUGUUUGACAUAAAUGUUAAUAAUCACAUUUAAAAAUAUUUUAUGAUUGUGCAAGGGAAAAGAUAUUGUAAAUUUGGCAGUACAAAAAUUAUUCUCCUGAAGUGUUUUUCAUUACAACAUAAUUUAAAAUACUACAAACAAUCCAUAAAAAAAUAAAAUGGAGAAUAGCUAUGGAUAGUAAUUUUUUUCUUUUAUUUCAACUAUAUUUGUGUUAAAGUAAAUUAAAAUAUGAUAAUCAUCAGAGGCACAGGAAAUCUAUAAUUAUAGCAAUUUCAAAAAUUGUGUCUUUUUUAAAUAAUAUUACUUUGAUUUGAAAUAGAUUUUUCAUAUUUUUAUGUACAGCUUCUGUGUUCUUAGUGUUUUGUCUGUAUUAUUUUGUUGUAUAAUGAAUGUGUGUAGGUUAUUUUAUAAUUUGGUUGGUGAUGUUAUUAAAAAGAUAUAGUGGGAUCUCACUAUUAUGGUAUGUGUUGCCUGUCUGCUUUGACCAGAUGGGUCAUAAUAGAUGAGACAGAAUAAUCUCUUAGCUUUCAGAUUAACUUAUUUUCUUUAUUAUUUGUAAUUAGUGUAAUUCUGUUCAAUGCUUUGAUUCCUAAUCUGUGGCUGAUAGUGAUUUAGUAAUUGUAAAUAUCUUCUGUAUUAUCUGUAAGAAGUAAUUCAUGUUUGAGUGACUCUGACCAAAUGUGGCUUAUUUUAAUAACACAGUUUCCCCUUCCAAAUUUUAUAUUACCAGUAUAUAUUUGGUAUGACUUACUGGUGCUAUAUAGAUUGUGCUAAUUUCUCCCAACAAGUAGUUAAUUUUAAAUCAAUUACCACUUUGUAUUCAAUAAUCUAAUGAAGUUACUGUUAAAAAAAAUGGGAAAAAUAUCACAAUCCUUAAACCUCUGAAGAGUUUUUAGAUUUUCAAAAUCUUUGUUGAAAAAUGUAUGUUCCGAAGUAAGGUAUUUUUAUAUAAUAGAAGGAUUUUUCUACUAAAGUCUUCAUAGCAGAAAUUUUCCUUUUUUUAAUGAAUCCUAACUGUGCUUGGCAUUUGGCAGCUUCAACUGACAUCUAUCUUAAAUUGUGUGUGUGUGUCUUUGUUAUAUGAAAAGACAUUUUAAUACAAUAUUUUGCCCAAUGUGUUUUGUUAAUUUAAAAGUGCUACUUUAAAAUAUUGUUUUUAUAUUAUAGUUUAAUUUACACUUUGGAUAUUACAAAACAAUUUUGAAUUGCAGUUUAACUGAAUGUCAAAAUGAUAUAUGUGAUACUCUUUAAAGAAAUGGGGAGGGAAGCAAGAUUAGUUUGAUUGCAAGAAAAAAUGGGGAAAAUAAGAAACUAAAAAAUGUAUAUAUAUUAUUUUUUAUUUCUACUGAAAAAACUGGCUAAUAUGCUGUAUUAAAUUAUACUGAAAUAUUUUAUGCUUUUCUUAGUAGUAUUCAUCAUAACAAAACAAAAAAAAAGGCUACUCAUAAAACUUUUACCCAAUUUUAAGAAAAAUUUUAGAGGAAAAAUUACAAAGCUAUAACUAUUUCCAGACUGUUAAGAAUGUUUAUAAAACAUUGUUCAUCAUUAAUUUGUAUAAAAGUGUUAAAGGAAUCUCUAAGCUUGUAUGAAAUUUUAUGUCACAAUGUUUUAUGUAUGAAACUUAUUUUGUGUUAUAAUUAUGCUGGUAAUAAAUCAAGACAUUUUGCCAGUUAAUUAUAGAUAUAACUUUUAGAGCAAAUAACAAGUUUUAACUGUGCCAUUCAGCUAAGAGUUAAAAGGUAAACAAAUUUAGUUUUAACUUUCAGUUGCAGUUUAUGGCUUAUUCUCAUAUUCAUUAUAAAGAUAUUUUAAGGGAAUUCAUUUUUAAAAUCAACUAAAAAUUUUAAUGUGCUGGUAUAUUUCAAAAGGAUACACUAUAAAGGGAAUCAUUUAGAAAAAAUAUUAAAAGAAAUUUGUGUAAAAUAGUUAAUCCUGCAAAAUGAAUGUUACAUAAAAUUUGACCAAAGAAUUUAUUUAAACUAUCUUCUGUGAUUUUUAAGUUAUUUCUACCAUUAUGUUAUUUUACAUGUAAACAUAGAUUACUGCUUUGUUUCUUAAAUAGUGUGACCAAAUCAUUUUUCAUUGCUAAUUUCUCGUUUUAUUUUAUUGUAUAGAUUAAUUUUUUAGAUCAGGUAUACUGAUCAAUGAAUUUUUUGUACUCUCUGCUGUUAACAUUAAAUUAUUUCUGCCUGAAGAGCUGUUUCAGUUGUUUUUAUACAUUAAAUUUUUUUCUAAUGAAUAAAGGAGGAAAAUGGAUGCAUUCAAAAGAUUAAAUUAAAAUCAGAAGGUGGACUUCAGAUGGUUCUUUUCUUUUAAAAUUAUAAACAAAACUUAAUACAUAAGGUAUAGUGCGCACACUUUUAUGAAAUGUGUAUUUCUUAGAACUAUCUCUUCCAUGUUUAUCAGAUUUACUUAUUGAAAUAAUAUAUGUACUUACUUAGGUAAAUAAGCCAAUAUAUGCAAUAAUUCUGUUCACUAGAAACAUUGAUGCCUUUGAUGUUCAAAAGUAGCAAAUGAAAAAUUUCCAUCUUUGAAAGCUAUAGAAAGAUUGCAGCAGUCUUAAUGUUUGGUCAUUGGUGAGCAGUUUUCAGAUUAUUGUGUGCAUAACUUAUUUAUUAGAUCAAGUAUUCCUGCUUUUAGCAGAUUUGAUAAAAUAACAUUAUGCAUCAGAAGCAAAACAGGACCAGAGAUAUAAGCUGUUGAAAUCUAUUUAGCUGUAAUUUUUUUUUUUUUUUUAGUUUCGAAGACCAGCGAGUUUUGUACUUAGACUGAAAAAAUACCAUUGUUUGAAAUUAAUCAUAAAAUGCACCAUUAUCAUAAAACAAGAGACAGUUACUCUUUCACACAGUGUAACUUUAAAUAAAUAAAUGGCUAGCAUA
This 6070-nucleotide unclassified non-coding RNA is filed under the name Stegodyphus dumicola. Its description in RNAcentral is "kinesin heavy chain-like, transcript variant X2". The record is from RNAcentral. Lineage: Eukaryota; Metazoa; Arthropoda; Arachnida; Araneae; Eresidae.